Molecule: long non-coding RNA, 479 nt
Organism: Sebastes umbrosus (honeycomb rockfish)
Lineage: Eukaryota; Metazoa; Chordata; Actinopteri; Perciformes; Sebastidae
Exons: 3
Source: RefSeq, a predicted model, not a curated record
GGAAGCGUUUGAUUUAUGGAGCGGACUUUUUUCUAUGAGUGGAGCACGCAUUGUAAACGUCAAUAUUGUAGUAGUUCACAUAGCUGUUCACACGCAGCAGCAAUGCUUUUAGAAUAGAUUUUCAAUAGAGAUUCAGUAGAAGUACCAGAGUUCAGCAGCAGGAGUGCUCGUCUGAUCGACCACAAUUACAUCCCAACAGAAGGAGACAGAGAGGAAGUGGGUGGAAGGAGGAGAGAACUAUUGAUAUGACCUGGAGGUUGGCGCCUGAUUACAGUGAAAGAAAGAAUGUAAACAUCAGCUACGGAGAUGAAAGACGACCUGACGCUGAACUAUAAUCACACACCAGAGGCAGACACAGCGACACCGCCGUACAACGAUACCCCCCAAAAUCCACCUGAGCUGCCUCACAAGGAGAACAGCAUCAGUGUGUGUUUACUGGAUGAAGCUCAGCUCAGUUCUUCGUUUCCUGAGUAAUUAAA